This 324-nucleotide ribosomal RNA is filed under the name uncultured eukaryote. Its description in RNAcentral is "partial 18S ribosomal RNA". It matches the Rfam family "Eukaryotic small subunit ribosomal RNA", at positions 1470 to 1796 of the family's 1831-position model. The record is from RNAcentral.
CCCUUAGAUGUUCUGGGCCGCACGCGCGCUACACUGACUGGUUCAUCGAGUAUACAACCUUGACUGAUAGGUCUGGGUAAUCUUCUCAAAGCCAGUCGUGCUGGGGAUAGAUUAUUGUAAUUUUUAAUCUUCAACGAGGAAUUCCUAGUAAACGCGAGUCAUCAACUCGCAUUGAUUACGUCCCUGCCCUUUGUACACACCGCCCGUCGCUCCUACCGAUUGAAUGUUCCGGUGAGCUCUUCGGACUGCGCGGUCUGCAGUUUCUGCGUUCCGUGCGGAAAGUUGCGCAAACCUUAACAUUUAGAGGAAGGAGAAGUCGUAACA